RNAcentral lists this ribosomal RNA (497 nucleotides) under uncultured bacterium. RNAcentral's name for it is "partial 16S ribosomal RNA". It matches the Rfam family "Bacterial small subunit ribosomal RNA", at positions 28 to 507 of the family's 1533-position model. The record is from RNAcentral.
GAUGAACGCUGGCGGCGUGCCUAAUACAUGCAAGUCGAGCGAACAGACGAGGAGCUUGCUCCUCUGACGUUAGCGGCGGACGGGUGAGUAACACGUGGAUAACCUACCUAUAAGACUGGGAUAACUUCGGGAAACCGGAGCUAAUACCGGAUUAUAUAUUGAACCGCAUGGUUCAAUAGUGAAAGACGGUUUUGCUGUCACUUAUAGAUGGAUCCGCGCCGCAUUAGCUAGUUGGUAAGGUAACGGCUUACCAAGGCAACGAUGCGUAGCCGACCUGAGAGGGUGAUCGGCCACACUGGAACUGAGACACGGUCCAGACUCCUACGGGAGGCAGCAGUAGGGAAUCUUCCGCAAUGGGCGAAAGCUUGACGGAGCAACGCCGCGUGAGUGAUGAAGGUCUUCGGAUCGUAAAACUCUGUUAUUAGGGAAGAACAAAUGUGUAAGUAACUAUGCACGUCUUGACGGUACCUAAUCAGAAAGCCACGGCUAACUACGUG